This 1070-nucleotide ribosomal RNA is filed under the name uncultured bacterium. RNAcentral's name for it is "bacterial SSU rRNA". It matches the Rfam family "Bacterial small subunit ribosomal RNA", at positions 8 to 1104 of the family's 1533-position model. The record is from RNAcentral.
AGAGUUUGAUCCUGGCUCAGGACGAACGCUAGCGGCGUGCCUAAGGUAUGCAAGUCGAACGGGGGCUUCGGCCCUAGUGGCGAACGGUCGAGUAACACGUAGACAACCUGCCCGCAAGUGGGGGAUAACAGCUCGAAAGGGCUGCUAAUACCGCAUGUGGUUCCGGCUCACCUGGGCUGGAUACUAAAGAUUUAUUGCUUGCGGAUGGGUCUGCGGCCUAUCAGGUAGUUGGUGGGGUAACGGCCUACCAAGCCGACGACGGGUAGCGGGUCUGAGAGGAUGAUCCGCCGGACGGGGACUGAGACACGGCCCCGACUCCUUCGGGAGGCAGCAAUGAGGAAUAUUGCACAAUGGGCGAAAGCCUGAUGCAGCGACGCCGCGUGGGUGAGGAAGUUCUUCGGAAUGUAAAGCCCUUUUACCGGGGACGAUCAAAGACGGUACCCGGUGAAUAAGCCCCGGCUAACUACGUGCCAGCAGCCGCGGUAAUACGUAGGGGGCAAGCGUUGUCCGGAUUUACUGGGCGUAAAGAGCGCGUAGGCGGACGUUUAAGUGUGGCCUGAAAGCCCCCGGCUCAACCGGGGAUCCGGGUUGCAAACUGGACGUCCUGAGGGGGAUAGGGGAAGGUGGAAUUCCUGGUGUAGCGGUGAAAUGCGUAGAGAUCAGGAGGAACACCCGUGGCGAAGGCGGCCUUCUGGGUCCGCCCUGACGCUGAGGCGCGAAAGCGUGGGGAGCGAACGGGAUUAGAUACCCCGGUAGUCCACGCCGUAAACGAUGAUUACUAGGUGUGUGUGGUAUCGACCCCACACGUGCCGCAGCUAACGCAAUAAGUAAUCCGCCUGGGGAGUACGGCCGCAAGGUUGAAACUCAAAGGAAUUGACGGGGGCCCGCACAAGCGGUGGAGCAUGUGGAUUAAUACGUCACUAACCGUAGAACCUUACCCAGGCUUGACAUCCCGGGAAUCCCCUUGAAAGGGGGGAGUGCUCGCAAGAGAGCCCGGAGACAGGUGUUGCAUGGCUGUCGUCAGCUCGUGUCGUGAGAUGUUGGGUUAAGUCCCGCAACGAGCGCAACCC